GACGAACGCUGGCGGCGUGCUUAACACAUGCAAGUCGAACGGAAAGGCCCUGCUUUUGUGGGGUGCUCGAGUGGCGAACGGGUGAGUAACACGUGAGUAACCUGCCCUUGACUUUGGGAUAACUUCAGGAAACUGGGGCUAAUACCCGAUAGGAGCUCCUGCUGCAUGGUGGGGGUUGGAAAGUUUCGGCGGUUGGGGCUGGACUCGCGGCUUAUCAGCUUGUUGGUGGGGUAGUGGCUUACCAAGGCUUUGACGGGUAGCCGGCCUGGGAGGGUGACCGGCCACAUUAGGACUGAGAUACGGCCCAGACUCCUACGGGAGGCAGCAGUGGGGAAUAUUGCGCAAUGGGCGGAAGCCUGAUGCGGCAACGCCGCGUGCGGGAUGACGGCCUUCGGGUUGUAAACCGCUUUCGCCUGUGACGAAGCGUGAGUGACGGUAAUGGGUAAAGAAGCACCGGCUAACUACGUG
This 468-nucleotide ribosomal RNA is filed under the name uncultured bacterium. RNAcentral describes it as "partial 16S ribosomal RNA". It matches the Rfam family "Bacterial small subunit ribosomal RNA", at positions 28 to 507 of the family's 1533-position model. The record is from RNAcentral.